Molecule: long non-coding RNA, 1874 nt
Organism: Bactrocera neohumeralis
Lineage: Eukaryota; Metazoa; Arthropoda; Insecta; Diptera; Tephritidae
Exons: 7
Source: RefSeq, a predicted model, not a curated record
AUGUGUAUUUCCUAUUCUUUUUAGACAAAGGCUGAAUAGUGUUGUUAGCACUUUGAAUAAGUGCAACAACGAUCAGUUAGCAGAAAUUAAACGUCUCAAGAUUUCCAUUAAAACUGCGGAAUUCCAUAGAAAUAAUUUGGAGCAAAAACUUAGCUGCAUUUUCACCAACGGCCAGAUUGAAAAAUUAAGGGAUGGAAACAAACGGCGGAAUUGGAAAGAAGAAGACAUAGCUAAGUCGAUCACGCUAUAUUCAACGAGCCCAAAAGCGUACAAACUUUUGAGGAGAAACAACUUUCCUCUACCAGGUGUGCGCACUCUGCAAUGGUGGUCAAAAAAAAUUGACGUAGCUCCAGGUGUCAUAGAGCCGGUGAUGAAACUGUUGAAGGCAGCAACUGAGCUAACACAAGCGCAAAAAAUUUGUGUACUCAGUUUUGAUGAAAUGAAGGUCAGAAAGAGUUACUGCUACGAUAGAUCCACUGAUUCGACAUUGCCUCCUGUUAACUAUGUUCAGGUUGCAAUGAUAAGAGGUUUGAUAAGUAAGUGGAAACAGCCUGUAUUCUUCGAUUAUGACUGCAAAAUGACGAAGGAAGUAUUGUUUAGCAUUUUGUCAAACGUUAAAAAGUGCGGUUACAAUAUUGUUGCCAUUGUAAGCGAUUUGGGUGGAUCAAAUAGAGGCUUAUAUAGUGAUCUUGAAAUUAAUGCGGAGAAACCUUGGUUUUCACACAACGGAGACAGGAUUGUGGUUUUUGCUGAUGUCCCCCACUUAAUAAAACUACAAAGAAAUCAUUUUUUGGAUAAGGGCUUUACUAUCAAUGGAAAAAUUGUUAGAAAAGACAUAAUUGUGAAGCUGCUCUCGCUAACGUCCAACGAGCUGUCCACCACGCACAAAAUUUCCCAGACACAUUUGUCUGUGACAGGAGCAGAAAGGCAAAAGGUUAAAUUAGCCACAAAAUUGUUCUCCCACACAAUUGCUCAAGCAAUAACUCGAGCGGCUAGUUUAGGUCUACUAGAUAACGAAAAUUGGGAGGAAUGCCAUUGACUUUUCAAAAUUACAAAUGACUGGUUUGACGUAAUGAAUGUCAGGGUGCCCAAAGAUGGAGUGAGGGAACGCUUGCACGCCUACGGUUUGGCUUUGAACAAACAAAAUAAUGUACUGGAACAGAUGACGGAGCUGGUUUCAUCAAUGAGAGUCAUUGGUAAAAAUGGUUUGCUUCCGUUCCAAAAAGGUAUACUCCAAAGCAAUAAUGCUUUGAAAUUGCUGCUGAAUGACUUAAGACAGCAGCACAAAAUUAAUUACGUUUUGACCUAUCGAUUGAACCAGGACGUUUUGGAAAUUUUUUUUGACGUAAUCAGGUCAAAAGGCGGUCUUCACGAUCACCCUGACAGGCAGGAGUUCAAAUAUAGGCUGCGUUCCUAUAUACUUGGUCACAACGAAGGAGCGAUCACAGAAGAAGGCAAUGUUGAAGUCGACAACACACCAGAUUUGGAAGGAAAUUACUUAUCUCUAACCGGUAAUAUUUUUCAACGUGUGUCAGUUGAUCUGAAUUCCACUGACCUAAUCGAAAAAAAUGAUGACUUGGAGAUUCUCAACAACGACGGACUUGAAAAUUUGGCAGGGUACAUCUGCCACAAACUCGGUAGAGACAACACCGAAAUUUGUGCCAAUUCCGAAAAUUGUUCGUCCCAUACUUGGGUGGAUCACCUUUCAGAAGGAGGACUCUCAAAACCAACAGAUAUGUUGAUGGAGCAUAUGAGAGCCUUGCAAGCAAUAUUUGACGACGUCAAUGGUAAUGAUUUGCAUAUAUGUACAAAUUACGUCCAGAAACACAUAGAUUUAAGUGAUUUUGUAAAUUGUAGCUCGAAAAUAAAAGAAU